UAAUACGAAGGUGGCAAGCGUUGUUCGGAUUUACUGGGCGUACAGGGAGCGUAGGCGGUUCGGUAAGCCCUCCGUGAAAUCUCCAGGCUCAACCUGGAAAGUGCAGAGGGGACUGCCGGGCUAGAGGAUGGGAGAGGAGCGCGGAAUUCCCGGUGUAGCGGUGAAAUGCGUAGAGAUCGGGAGGAAGGCCGGUGGCGAAGGCGGCGCUCUGGAACAUUUCUGACGCUGAGGCUCGAAAGCGUGGGGAGCAAACAGGAUUAGAUACCCUGGUAGUCCACGCCUUAAACGAUGGAUACUAAGUGUCGGCGGGUUACCGCCGGUGCCGCAGCUAACGCAGUAAGUAUCCCGCCUGGGAAGUACGGCCGCAAGGUUG
RNAcentral lists this ribosomal RNA (373 nucleotides) under uncultured bacterium. Its description in RNAcentral is "bacterial SSU rRNA". It matches the Rfam family "Bacterial small subunit ribosomal RNA", at positions 521 to 896 of the family's 1533-position model. The record is from RNAcentral.